UAGGUUUCAUUUAAUUUAGAGAAUUUCAGAAGAUAUUCCCCUUCACUCCCUGUUCCAGUUGAGAAAAUGGAGCUAUCCAUGCAUGUGCCAAAUCAAAAUACAAGAUUUUGUUGGAUGGUCUUUUCUUGAUUUGUCACCCCAAGACUUUGUUUGUGCCUCUAGACAACAAUAAUUCCGGAGGCGAAUUCCUUGCGGUACGGUUGAGAAAAAUUCUUUAAUGCUGUUGAAGUAUUUCUCCUUAUCUGUAUGAACAUUAUAAUGAUUGGUUGGAAAAUACGCAUAACAAAGAGUGAAUGGAAAAGGAGCAAUGAUCAAAAAGCACCCAAGAUUUUUCCUUAUUUAAACUGUCAUAGUCAAUAUAUUAUAUUUUGUCAACUUUAGCACUUACAAUUCUGAAUAUUUCUAUUGUUUGUGGUUAUUGCAGCCGCUUUUUCAGCAACUAUGGAAAAGAGAUGUGAAGUUGGAAUUCUGAUAGUAUCAAAUGUGG
This 487-nucleotide long non-coding RNA is filed under the name Citrus maxima (pomelo). RNAcentral's name for it is "long non-coding RNA (CMAX_LNC000173)". The record is from RNAcentral. Lineage: Eukaryota; Viridiplantae; Streptophyta; Magnoliopsida; Sapindales; Rutaceae.